RNAcentral lists this long non-coding RNA (413 nucleotides) under Bos taurus (domestic cattle). RNAcentral's name for it is "long non-coding RNA NONBTAT024621". The record is from RNAcentral. Lineage: Eukaryota; Metazoa; Chordata; Mammalia; Artiodactyla; Bovidae.
GCAUGUCUGUAUUUCUCAUUCAUUUGUGGUUAUUUAAUUGUGCUCUGGUUUCUUCCACCUACAAGUUGGUAUCCCUCCUGCCCUCGUAUUUCAGAGACUUGGCUUGAUUGUUGUGGUUGAGGUAGUCCUGGCAGGGCCACUGUAAAGCCACAGGACUAAGAGAAAGAAGAAUCAACUCACAUUUUGAGGAAAACAAGUUUGACAUUUCAAACAAAAAUCUGAAAAGUCUGUGAGAUGGGUGGUUUUUUACCUAUUUAUUUAGUUCAGAAACUUUGGACAUUCUCAUACAUAGUUUUUUAGAUGAUGGGUUCUUAAGCCCUUAUUUAAUUUAGAAAAAAAAUUGGAUAUUCAUCUUGUCUAGUAAUUACUUAAAAACCUGACAUACUAUAUGUUGAUAACUUAAGAGAUUACAG